Molecule: non-coding RNA, 192 nt
Filed under: Acidobacteriota bacterium
Lineage: Bacteria; Pseudomonadati; Acidobacteriota
Description: Acidobacteria bacterium 6S RNA
Rfam family: 6S / SsrS RNA
About the family: E. coli 6S RNA was the first non coding RNA to be sequenced, but its function was unknown until recently.
Source: RNAcentral
AUCUACCUGCGGAGAGCGUGAUGGUGUCAACUAAAUUUGAACCAACGCUUAUUUGUUAGGGAGUCCGAUUGACUGCGCCGUGUGUGGGCCUUACCCCUCGGGGUUCCUAGGUCCCCUAAAGCGUGGAUAGGAUGCCCACCUGUGUAAACAGGUUCAAAUAGGUGAGCGCCACACGCCUCUCGCGGGCCCCAG